Heterocephalus glaber (naked mole-rat) is the source of this 84-nucleotide non-coding RNA. Lineage: Eukaryota; Metazoa; Chordata; Mammalia; Rodentia; Bathyergidae. The record is from Rfam.
CCAGCCACGUUCCCUUAUCACUUUUCCAGCCCAGCUUUGUGACUGUCAGUGUUGGACGGAGAACUGAUAAGGGUGGGUGCCUGA